GAUGAACGCUGGCGGCGUGCCUAAUACAUGCAAGUCGAGCGAACGGACGAGAAGCUUGCUCCUCUGCUGUUAGCGGCGGACGGGCGAGUAACACGUGGAUCACCUACCUAUAUGACUGGGAUAACUUCGGGAAACCGGAUCUACUACCGGCUAAUAUUUUGAACCGCAUGGUUCAAAAGUGAAUGACGGUCUUGCUGUCACUUAUAGAUGGAUCCGCGCUGCAUUGGUUAGUUGGUAAGGUAACGGCCUCCAAGGCAACGGUGCGUAGCCGGCCUGGGAGGGGGGAUAGCCCCAACUGAACCGGGACACGGUCCCGACCCCUAAGGGAGGGAAGAGUUGGGAAUAUUGGCCAAUGGGGGGAAACCUGAACCGGCCAUACCGCGGGGGGGGAGAAGGCCUUCGGGUUGGAAAAACCUUUUUUUGGGGAAGAAAAGUAGCAGGAUAAAACCGCGCUGUUCUGAAGGUACCCAAAGAAGAAGCCCCGGCUAACUUCGUG
RNAcentral lists this ribosomal RNA (496 nucleotides) under uncultured bacterium. RNAcentral's name for it is "partial 16S ribosomal RNA". It matches the Rfam family "Bacterial small subunit ribosomal RNA", at positions 28 to 507 of the family's 1533-position model. The record is from RNAcentral.